RNAcentral lists this ribosomal RNA (796 nucleotides) under uncultured Pelagibacteraceae bacterium. Its description in RNAcentral is "bacterial SSU rRNA". It matches the Rfam family "Bacterial small subunit ribosomal RNA", at positions 46 to 890 of the family's 1533-position model. Lineage: Bacteria; Pseudomonadati; Pseudomonadota; Alphaproteobacteria; Candidatus Pelagibacterales; Candidatus Pelagibacteraceae. The record is from RNAcentral.
GCCUAACACAUGCAAGUCGAACGAAGUAGCAAUACUUAGUGGCAGACGGGUGAGUAACAUGUGGGUAUCUACCCUUUGGCCUGGAAUAACACGAGGAAACUUGUGCUAAUACCGGAUAAGUCUUUACGGAGAAAGCUUUAUGCACCAUUGGAUGAGCCUGCACUUGAUUAGUUUGUUGGUGGGGUAAUGGCCUACCAAGACUGUGAUCAAUAGCUGAUUUGAGAGGAUGAUCAGCCACAUUGGGACUGAGACACGGCCCAAACUCCUACGGGAGGCAGCAGUGGGGAAUCUUGCACAAUGGAGGAAACUCUGAUGCAGCGAUGCCGCGUGAGUGAAGAAGGCCCUUGGGUUGUAAAGCUCUUUCGUCGGGGAAGAAAAUGACUGUACCCGAAUAAGAAGGUCCGGCUAACUUCGUGCCAGCAGCCGCGGUAAUACGAAGGGACCUAGCGUAGUUCGGAAUUACUGGGCUUAAAGAGUUCGUAGGUGGUUGAAAAAGUUAGUGGUGAAAUCCCAGAGCUUAACUCUGGAACUGCCAUUAAAACUUUUCAGCUAGAGUAUGAUAGAGGAAAGCAGAAUUUCUAGUGUAGAGGUGAAAUUCGUAGAUAUUAGAAAGAAUACCAAUUGCGAAGGCAGCUUUCUGGAUCAUUACUGACACUGAGGAACGAAAGCAUGGGUAGCGAAGAGGAUUAGAUACCCUCGUAGUCCAUGCCGUAAACGAUGUGUGUUAGACGUUGGAAAUUUAUUUUCAGUGUCGCAGGGAAACCGAUAAACACACCGCCUGGGGAGUACGACCGCA